This 1370-nucleotide ribosomal RNA is filed under the name uncultured bacterium. RNAcentral describes it as "bacterial SSU rRNA". It matches the Rfam family "Bacterial small subunit ribosomal RNA", at positions 27 to 1381 of the family's 1533-position model. The record is from RNAcentral.
GGAUGAACGCUAGCGACAGGCCUAACACAUGCAAGUCGAGGGGCAGCACAUGAGUAGCAAUACGAUGGUGGCGACCGGCGCACGGGUGAGUAACACGUAUGCAACCUGCCUGUAAGAGGGGAAUAACCCGGAGAAAUUCGGACUAAUACCGCAUAAUACCACGAGACUGCAUGGUUUUGUGGUUAAACAUUUAUGGCUUACAGAUGGGCAUGCGUAUGAUUAGAUAGUUGGUAGGGUAACGGCCUACCAAGUCUACGAUCAUUAGGGGUUCUGAGAGGAAGGUCCCCCACACUGGUACUGAGACACGGACCAGACUCCUACGGGAGGCAGCAGUGGGGAAUAUUGGACAAUGGGGGGAACCCUGAUCCAGCGAUGCCGCGUGUGUGAAGAAGGCCUGAGGGUUGUAAAGCACUUUAGUUGGGGAGGAAAGGCUCUCUUCGAAUAGGGGAGAGAAAAGACGUUACCCAAAGAAUAAGCACCGGCUAACUCUGUGCCAGCAGCCGCGGUAAUACAGAGGGUGCAAGCGUUAAUCGGAAUGACUGGGCGUAAAGGGCACGUAGGCGGAUAGAUAUGUCAAAGGUGAAAUCCCCGGGCUCAACCUGGGAACUGCCUGUGAAACUGUGUAUCUAGAAUAGAGUAGAGGUAAGUGGAAUUUCCGGUGUAGCGGUGAAAUGCGUAGAUAUCGGAAAGAACACCAGUGGCGAAGGCGACUUACUGGGCUCAUAUUGACGCUGAGGUGCGAAAGCGUGGGGAGCAAACGGGAUUAGAUACCCCGGUAGUCCACGCUGUAAACGAUGAGAACUAGAUGCUUGUUGACUAAGGUUAAUGAGUAUUGAAGCAAACGCGUUAAGUUCUCCGCCUGGGGAGUACGGCCGCAAGGUUAAAACUCAAAGGAAUUGACGGGGGCCCGCACAAGCGGUGGAGCAUGUGGUUUAAUUCGAUGCAACGCGAAAAACCUUACCUACCCUUGACAUGCCAGGAAUCCUAAAGAGAUUUGGGAGUGCCCGCGAGGGAGCCUGGACACAGGUGCUGCAUGGCUGUCGUCAGCUCGUGUCGUGAGAUGUUGGGUUAAGUCCCGUAACGAGCGCAACCCCUAUUGUUAGUUGCCAGCGAGUAAAGUUGGGCACUCUAAUGAGACUGCCGGUGAUAAACCGGAGGAAGGUGGGGAUGAUGUCAAGUCAUCAUGGCCCUUAUGGGUAGGGCUACACACGUGCUACAAUGGCCGGUACAAAGGGAAGCGAAGUCGCGAGAUGGAGCGAAUCCUCAGAAGCCGGUCGUAGUCCGGAUUGGAGUCUGCAACUCGACUCCAUGAAGUCGGAAUCGCUAGUAAUCGUGGAUCAGCAUGCCACGGUGAAUACGUUCCCGGGCCU